This 741-nucleotide long non-coding RNA is filed under the name Sus scrofa (pig). RNAcentral describes it as "lncRNA (ENSSSCG00030031141.1)". The record is from RNAcentral. Lineage: Eukaryota; Metazoa; Chordata; Mammalia; Artiodactyla; Suidae.
CUGCCCUGCUAGUGUGUGGCGGUGGGUGGCAGGACCCAGAGACAUGGCCAGUGCCAGGAGCCACACAGCAGCAGCUUCUCUCUCCUCCCAGAUCAGCCCUGUCAGCCCUCCUCGAACCCGCACUGCCCGCCUGAUGACCGCCAAGGAGGGCCAGGCCCUGCUGAGUCAUGAGGCCGCUCCCCCGCUGGGCACUGAGUCAUUCUUAACGAGCCCUCUGACGGGCAAACUGCUGCCAUCAUCCAGGAUUCACCCAAGUCUGCAGGAUUUGAGAACAUUCUUCCGGGAAGGAGUCUGGAGCCUCCCCCACACGGCUGCCCACAUCAGGAGCCUCAGAUACAGAGGCCUUUUUCCUUGCCUUUGGCCUCAGCAUCCAACACUCCACUCUUCUCAUGGAAACUCCGGGGGAGCGGCAGCUGAAACUCCAUCCGAUGCUUCACUGGGAAUCGGCACUAAGUUGGGGGAGGGUGGCACCGCCUUCCAGACCAGGAUNGGGGGGGGGGGGGGGGGGGGGGGGGGGGGGGGGACAGGCACCCUGGGGUCACAUGAAAGUCUAGUCAUGGGACUUAGAUUUUCUUUGGUUUUCCCCCAAAGCCUGCUCUUUGAACUCAGACCCCUCCAAUGGGGCUGGUCUUUUGACUGGUGUUGGGUUUUCUGAAUCCGCUUCACUGAGCGCUCCUGGGGGACCAAGGUGGUCAGUGAGAUGCCAGGAAUUUUUUUCCUCUAAUGUUAUUUAAAGAGAGC